GCUCAGCCUAACGCCUCCACUGAAGCACCCAUCUGGCAGGCUGGUGUGUCUGUGGGCUGCUGGAGAGUCGUGGAGUCCUGUUUCAGUGGCUCCGUUCCCCCGGUUACCGAGUGAGCCGCACUUCCCCCAGGGUUGGGCUGUCCAGGCAUAGGUGCCAGUUUCAUAACGGCCAGAGGGAGUUCCUAAGUGCCCAAUUUCGGCCUUCAGGGUCUCUCUGUGUACUUGUUGCUACCCUGGAAAUCAGAUCAAGCUGGCCUUGAACUCAUAAAGAGACCCACUGGCCCUCUACCUCCUGGUUGCCAGAGAGAAAAGCAACACACCCAGGGACCACCAGUCAGCAGUGUGGUUGUAAGGCCCACCACUCAGGACCUCUGGGGCUGUGGCACGAAAGAGCUGCUAGCUGGAGAAGGUAGUCUACUCAGCACUCAAGCCUAUACUUGGAGGACCCACACCCAAAUCCUUCGCAUCCAUAGGAACCCAAAUAACCGUCUCUGCUUCCUACUGCCUUCUCAGAUCUGUGGAAACUUCUUGAGAUCCUUGCUCAACUUAAGAGAAAAGACUUAACUCUACCUUUACAUCACGGUGGAUGAUACCCAAGUCGUGGAGAUAGCCUGUGGAGAACAGUGGGCAUGGGUGUGUCUGCCAGUUUCUUUGUAGCCCCUAUCUCUCCUCUAUCCUGACUUCCAAAAUUAAAUAUUAAUUCUGUUUCUCCUCCCCACUAA
Molecule: long non-coding RNA, 722 nt
Organism: Mus musculus (house mouse)
Lineage: Eukaryota; Metazoa; Chordata; Mammalia; Rodentia; Muridae
Product: predicted gene 3948
Exons: 4
Source: RefSeq, marked validated